AUUUUAUAACAGGGUUUUAUGAGAGAACCAUUUAAAUUUAGAAAAUCGACUUGUUCGUUAUUACCAUAGAUAAUGAUAAUUAAUCAUCGACGAAAGACGAAGAGCUGUUCCUGUAAAAAAAUCAGAAACACGAUAAAAGAGAAAUGUUGUCGAAGAAUUCUCAUAACUUGAAAUCCAAUUAAACGUAAACUAACAAAAAAGGAGAAAGAGAGGAACACGAUAGAAGAAUUUUCAUAACUUCAAGCCCAGUUAACCGAUGCCACGAAAUAAUAAGAAAAGAACGGAAAGAAUUAGCAUAGAAGAGUAUUCGUAUCUUUAACUUCUCCUACGAAACAAUUAAAAACAACGAAAACGAAAAGAGAUACGAUAGAAGAAAUUUCACUUCAAAUUCAAUAAACUAUUCCUCCGUAACAAUAAAAUAAGGAGAAAGAAACAGAAUGUUGAAAAUGACAACUUGAGUUCGUGCUCGCCAUCUGUAUGCAGAUGCGUUAGUUACAAUAAAUAGUAACUAGAAGAUAGUUCUAGGUACAAUCGAUAAAUUUAAUCGAUAGGUUUAAGAUGUCCUCUGGUUUUUUAUCCCUAGUUUAUGUAGGGAAGUGUAAUAUGAAGGUUUUUCGGUUCAGAAAGGUAUGAUAGAUUUAUCCAAAGAAUAAAAUAGUAGCUAUUAUGAUCCUACCUCUAAAUACAGAAAUAACAACGCAGAAAGAAAUAC
Long non-coding RNA from Bombus terrestris (buff-tailed bumblebee), 712 nucleotides. RefSeq lists it as uncharacterized. Lineage: Eukaryota; Metazoa; Arthropoda; Insecta; Hymenoptera; Apidae. The transcript is spliced from 2 exons. The record is from RefSeq and is a predicted model, not a curated record.